UACGAAGGGGGCUAGCGUUGCUCGGAAUCACUGGGCGUAAAGCGCACGUAGGCGGAUCUUUUAAGUCAGGGGUGAAAUCCCAAGGCUCAACCUUGGAACUGCCUUUGAUACUGGGGGAUCUCGAGUCCGGAAGAGGUUGGUGGAACUGCGAGUGUAGAGGUGAAAUUCGUAGAUAUUCGCAAGAACACCAGUGGCGAAGGCGGCCAACUGGUCCGGAACUGACGCUGAGGUGCGAAAGCGUGGGGAGCAAACAGGG
Molecule: ribosomal RNA, 256 nt
Filed under: uncultured bacterium
Lineage: Bacteria
Description: partial 16S ribosomal RNA
Rfam family: Bacterial small subunit ribosomal RNA
Source: RNAcentral